RNAcentral lists this ribosomal RNA (454 nucleotides) under uncultured bacterium. RNAcentral describes it as "bacterial SSU rRNA". It matches the Rfam family "Bacterial small subunit ribosomal RNA", at positions 29 to 524 of the family's 1533-position model. The record is from RNAcentral.
AACGAACGCUGGCGGCAGGCUUAACACAUGCAAGUCGAACGCGUGUAGCAAUACACGAGUGGCGCACGGGUGAGUAACGCGUGGAUAUCUGCCUUUUGGUUCGGAAUAACUCCGGGAAACUGGAGCUAAUACCGGAUGGUUCCUACGGGAUAAAGAUUUAUCGCCAAAAGAUGAGUCCGCGUACGAUUAGCUAGUUGGUGAGGUAAUGGCUCACCAAGGCGACGAUCGUUAGCUGGUCUGAGAGGACGAUCAGCCACACUGGGACUGAGACACGGCCCAGACUCCUACGGGAGGCAGCAGUGGGGAAUAUUGGACAAUGGGGGCAACCCUGAUCCAGCCAUGCCGCGUGAGUGAUGAAGGCCUUCGGGUUGUUAAAGCUCUUUUGGCGGGGACGAUGAUGACGGUACCCGCAGGAAUAAGCCCCGGCUAACUUCGUGCCAGCAGCCGCGGUAAU